RNAcentral lists this ribosomal RNA (590 nucleotides) under Bacillus sp. CH363a_12T. Its description in RNAcentral is "bacterial SSU rRNA". It matches the Rfam family "Bacterial small subunit ribosomal RNA", at positions 59 to 632 of the family's 1533-position model. Lineage: Bacteria; Bacillati; Bacillota; Bacilli; Caryophanales; Bacillaceae. The record is from RNAcentral. RNAcentral also lists the same sequence under 1 other name.
CAGUCGAGCGAAUCGAUGGGAGCUUGCUCCCUGAGAUUAGCGGCGGACGGGUGAGUAACACGUGGGCAACCUGCCUAUAAGACUGGGAUAACUUCGGGAAACCGGAGCUAAUACCGGAUACGUUCUUUUCUCGCAUGAGAGAAGAUGGAAAGACGGUUUACGCUGUCACUUAUAGAUGGGCCCGCGGCGCAUUAGCUAGUUGGUGAGGUAAUGGCUCACCAAGGCGACGAUGCGUAGCCGACCUGAGAGGGUGAUCGGCCACACUGGGACUGAGACACGGCCCAGACUCCUACGGGAGGCAGCAGUAGGGAAUCUUCCGCAAUGGACGAAAGUCUGACGGAGCAACGCCGCGUGAACGAAGAAGGCCUUCGGGUCGUAAAGUUCUGUUGUUAGGGAAGAACAAGUACCAGAGUAACUGCUGGUACCUUGACGGUACCUAACCAGAAAGCCACGGCUAACUACGUGCCAGCAGCCGCGGUAAUACGUAGGUGGCAAGCGUUGUCCGGAAUUAUUGGGCGUAAAGCGCGCGCAGGUGGUUCCUUAAGUCUGAUGUGAAAGCCCACGGCUCAACCGUGGAGGGUCAUUGGAAA